AAAACUUUAGUAUAGUGAGUAUACUUCAUUGUCGUUGGAGUGGGUUGUAAGUUUUG
RNAcentral lists this transfer RNA (56 nucleotides) under Ophidascaris baylisi. RNAcentral's name for it is "tRNA-Asp". Lineage: Eukaryota; Metazoa; Nematoda; Chromadorea; Rhabditida; Anisakidae. The record is from RNAcentral.